RNAcentral lists this unclassified non-coding RNA (300 nucleotides) under uncultured Sebacinaceae. RNAcentral describes it as "sequence contains ITS2". Lineage: Eukaryota; Fungi; Basidiomycota; Agaricomycetes; Sebacinales; Sebacinaceae. The record is from RNAcentral.
AACGCACCUUGCACCCUUUGGCAUUCCGAAGGGUAUGCUCGUUUGAGUGUCAUUGUACUCUCACACUCUCUGAUCCUUUGGGAUUCGGGGAGCGGUGGACUUGGGUGUUUGCUGCUUUCCUUGUGGCUCACCUCAAAUGCGUCAGUGCACCUCUUGGUUGGACAUAGUACGGCGUGAUAAGUGUCUUCGCCGGCACCUCGCAAGAGGGUGGUCAAUUGGGAGCUCUGUGCUUUCAAACCGUCUUCGGACAAUAUCUGACAACUUGACCUCAAAUCGAGUAGGACUACCCGCUGAACUUAA